GAAAGAUGAGGGAGUAAGGAACAGCAAAACAUCAAAAAAAAAACUCUAUUACAGGAUUUGUUUGGUGCGCUUUGUUUUUGACUGCAACCAAAGUCUUGAAUGACUUGAAUAUCUGUUUAGCUCCUCCUCCAUGCCUAGCUGUCACUAAUCAUGUGAGUAAAUUUACAUGUGAUCAUGUGACACUUUGUACUGAAGCUCAGGAUGCUCUUUGGAUUACCUCAAAUCAUGCUGAAGAACACGAUGAUCAGACAUUUUGUUCCAUUCUACUCCUCUAACCUGACGCUGUGUGGAGCCCUCUGGUGGUCGAUUGGCGCCCCUGCGAUGGCCGCGGCCCUGGCCUUGUGCUCCAAAUGGCUGUGAUGAGCGGGUACAGACACAUCAAACUGAAAGAGUCAACAAGCAGAGCCAGGCAUAAACCCCCUAAUUCUUUAAGCGCUGCAUUAAACAGGUAAGGCGCAAAAUGAAAGACUGCACACUGAAAAUAGCUCUCCUGUUUUUAAGAGAGAGAGUCAAAGACAGGGUGAGAUCAAAAGCAAAGAGAGGGAGAGAGAGAACAUUUUACUUUUAAAUCCUCUACAAACAGAAUCAUCGCCAUAGUCGCAUUCUCAUGGGAAACGCACACUAAGUGAUGAAACUGAGUAUGAGGACAGACCACCGUGCCAGCCAGACGCUCCCAUACACACACACACCCACGCACUCCUACACCCAUCAUCUCAUUUCAAAGAGCUACAUUUUCUCCAUUUUGGAAAGGGACAAAAACAGAGAUAGUGAGACAAAACAAAAUAUCCGAGAUGCUUCUUUUUCUUUGCAAAAAUACUAGAAUCAGAGUGUCAUGUCCUUGCAUCACACAUGGGCAAAACGAAAUUUUAGAUCCUUCAAAUGUUACUAGCACACAAAAACAACAUGUAAGAGAAAACCCCAAUUAGUAUCGAGGGCAUGUGUCUUUUUAAUCGGUCUCUCGUGGCAACGCAAACAAAUAACUCCAUCUUUUGACUACCAAUGUUUUACAGGCAUGCUUGUAGUGAGUUUCUUAUGAAAUGUCCUUCUGAUGCUUUGGCAUGUGGGCAGAGGACACAGAUUCUGCAUGAUCCAAGAGAAGAGCCAACUGAAUGUGUACAUCCUCAAAAAAAGGCUCCUACUGAUGAGUCACAGUUAAUCUGUCAUGGAUGAAUGGGACUUUAUGGUUACUCUUUGUUCUGCACAUUCGCUUCAGGCAAAAGAUGUUUUUGACAUCAUCUUCCUUACCACAUUCUGUUUCCUUUUAUUGCAGGCUUAAGUUAGUCACCAUCCUUCACGCUCACACUUUGCCUCUCGUUUUUCUGUCAGACAUCUUCCUUUAUUCCUACCAAUCCUACGUCUUGUAAUUCUCUUAUUGUGCACCUUACUGUUUUUUUUCACCCUUACAUCUUUCAACACCCUUUCUUCCUCCAGUUCCCCUUCUCCAAGUUUCACCUAUUCUCCUUUGUCUCCACUUUCUCCAUGGUUUCUUUCUCACCUUAUACGUCUUAAUGCUCUAUGAAUUCUGAUUCCUAAUAAUCUGAUUUGUCCCACCUAUUAAUCCAACAUUACAAUUUGCAUUUAUUCAAAGUGGCUUACAGUGUACUCACACAAAGUUCUGUAUUUGCAUUCUCUGGGAGUCAAACACUUGACCUUGGAUUUGAGCUCGAGGAACAAGGGAACACAUUUUGUUCAUUAGUUUGCAGACUAAAUAAGAUAUUAAUUAACUAGACCUUUAAAGCCAGGAUUUAUAAGGAAAGGCUCAGAUUAAGAAACUAUGAAUGGGUACAACAAUGUUAACCUGGACCAAUGGUUGAAUCAAAACACUACUGAUUCAAAUAAGCAAAUCAGUCAUUACCGAGAACUACAUGAAACUAACCACUAAUGAGGCCAGAUGAGGAUAUCUCUAACAAGUAUAUCUGAGACCAGUCCUGAAAACAACAUUCAAUCCCUGUGGAUUGAUGAAAUUAUACUUGAUUGAUGAAACGUUUACAUGGCCUAUAAAAGAUUACAAGGCCGUCUUCAUUAUUCGGCACAUAUAGCAAGUUGCAUCAGGAGUCUUUGUGCAUGUAUGCAUUAAAGAGAAUGUGUAUGGGAGGUUUUUGAAAGAAGCUCACUAAGGGCAUACUUACACUAUAGGCACGACUGCCUUGUACUGAGCCCGAGUGCGAUUGGUAAUAGACUGUCAAAUAGUGUAUCACUUAUGCUCUGCAACGAUUUUCAUUGUUUUAAUUGUGCUGCAAGUAUCAGAACAUUAUUACAGAAGCACAUGGCUGCUCAUCAAUAAGGUGAGAACCAGAUCCAUUAUAAAUCUACACUCUAAAAAAUGCUGGGUUAUUUUUUUUAAUCCAAAAGCUGGGUUGAGCCAUUUGGGUAAUUUUUUGGGGUUAUUUUUUCAGUGUUUGGGUAGUUUUUGUGUUACCCAGCUCCUGGGUCAAAUGUAACAAUCCCAUGUUUGGGUAGUCUUUUAGUGUUACCCAGCUCCUGGUUCAGACAUAACAACCCAAUGUUUGGGUAGUUUUUGUGUUACUCAGAUCCUGGGUCAGACGUAACAGCCCCAGCGAUUGAGUCUAAGCGCCAUCGAAUUGAUGCAUUUCUUCGGUAAAAUAAAGGUUAUGAAGACAGUCGCAGUAUAUUUCGGCGAUGAGAGAAACGCAGGGUGGCGGUCUUAUCCGUGAGCAGUUCCCCACCGAACAUGACUCCAGCUCAAGCACGAGAACCAGCGCCGUUACGGUGGAAACAGAAUUACAAAGAGCGGUCAAUUACAAGUGAAUUACUUCUGUUUAAUGUUUAAUUUUUACUUCUAAUGUUUUUUAAACGAGUUGAAAUAGGCAAUAUGUAUAGCCUACAUAAAAACAAUAUAAACAAUGAUGUAAAUGAUAAAUAAAAGAAAAUAAAGGACGUUAUCGUGCAAACCAGUGGUUGUGGAGUAUUUUACAAAAGUUUACAGGAUUUAAGUUAAUCUGUAAACAUUAUUUCAUGUAUAAAGUAAAAAAUAAGCU
Onychostoma macrolepis is the source of this 2999-nucleotide long non-coding RNA. RefSeq lists it as uncharacterized. The record is from RefSeq and is a predicted model, not a curated record. NCBI's taxonomy places the organism in Eukaryota, Metazoa, Chordata, Actinopteri, Cypriniformes, Cyprinidae. The transcript is spliced from 5 exons.